Oreochromis aureus is the source of this 509-nucleotide long non-coding RNA. NCBI's taxonomy places the organism in Eukaryota, Metazoa, Chordata, Actinopteri, Cichliformes, Cichlidae. The record is from Ensembl.
UAACAGUUUCCUCAACCAAACACUCAACUGAUAUUGUGUGAUAAAAACUGGAAGUCCGCCGGUGAAAGAAGGAGCUGUUUGUUGAGAAAUACACUCACCAACCCGGCGACCCUCGUCUUCUGAAACAACCGGAGACUGUACUGCACUGAAAGUUGGUUCAGUGGCGAAGAAGGCGGCUACAUUCUGCCUGUAAACCCUCCGAAAAGGGCUGGUUUUUAUUUUGCUUUGACUGUCGAAAGGCGGGGGAUACGAAGCGACCUACGGUGAAAAUCCGUAACAUUUUCGACUAACUGAAGAAAACAGAAAACAAAAAACGGAAUUACUACAGAGCCAGUUCGUGCUGCGGUGACUGGUCAGCGAUAGUACAUGGAUUAUCUGGUUAUGGAACAAAAAAAGUCAAGUGGAAGACACCCCAAAAUUUUACCAGCACUGAGCCAGAGGAUGCAAUUAGCUAUCCGUCAAGACACUGGACGACCCUCGACCCAAAUUAAGCCCGUUACUGGUGCCAA